This 274-nucleotide ribosomal RNA is filed under the name uncultured bacterium. RNAcentral describes it as "partial 16S ribosomal RNA". It matches the Rfam family "Bacterial small subunit ribosomal RNA", at positions 523 to 796 of the family's 1533-position model. The record is from RNAcentral.
AUACGGAGGGUCCGAGCGUUAUCCGGAAUCAUUGGGUUUAAAGGGUCCGUAGGCGGGAAUCUAAGUCAGUGGUGAAAUCUUGCAGCUCAACUGUAAAAUUGCCAUUGAUACUGGAUUUCUUGAAUUAGUGUGAAGUGAUUAGAAUGUGUAGUGUAGCGGUGAAAUGCAUAGAUAUUACACAGAAUACCAAUUGCGAAGGCAGAUCACUAACACUAUAUUGACGCUAAGGGACGAAAGCGUGGGUAGCGAACAGGAUUAGAAACCCUAGUAGUCC